GGGGAACCUAGUCGUUCAUUUCGACGAAAAAAUAUAAUACAUCCCAAAACAAUUAGCGGUACUAAUUAAAAACAAAUAUUUUCGAUACAUGCACCCCGGCAACAUCAAGGAGUUCACCCUUUGAGGGUGACGGAGCUAGCCCUGUCCAAGAUAGGGCGACGAGGGCGUCGAGUGAGCUGGUGUCGAGGCCCUUUGGCAGCUUGAAGAAUGCCUUGCUCGGAUCCACCUUUGGAUUAUGAUAGGGAACCUUCACCAAGACCUUGUGAAGGACCCUGCGGCAUAUCUCACCGCAACCAUGAAGGAAUUUAUCGGCCCGUCCGACCUCGUACCUCGCCAACGAGUCAACGAGCUUCCCAAAGAAUAUGG
Molecule: long non-coding RNA, 366 nt
Filed under: Hordeum vulgare
Lineage: Eukaryota; Viridiplantae; Streptophyta; Magnoliopsida; Poales; Poaceae
Description: long non-coding RNA (HVUL_LNC011803)
Source: RNAcentral